RNAcentral lists this ribosomal RNA (253 nucleotides) under uncultured bacterium. Its description in RNAcentral is "partial 16S ribosomal RNA". It matches the Rfam family "Bacterial small subunit ribosomal RNA", at positions 524 to 776 of the family's 1533-position model. The record is from RNAcentral.
UACGAAGGGGGCUAGCGUUGCUCGGAAUCACUGGGCGUAAAGGGUGCGUAGGCGGAUUGCUAAGUCAGGGGUGAAAUCCUGGAGCUCAACUCCAGAACUGCCUUUGAUACUGGCGACCUUGAGUCCGGGAGAGGUGAGUGGAACUGCGAGUGUAGAGGUGAAAUUCGUAGAUAUUCGCAAGAACACCAGUGGCGAAGGCGGCUCACUGGCCCGGUACUGACGCUGAGGUGCGAAAGCGUGGGGAGCAAACAGG